RNAcentral lists this ribosomal RNA (253 nucleotides) under uncultured Eubacteriales bacterium. RNAcentral's name for it is "uncultured Clostridiales bacterium partial 16S ribosomal RNA". It matches the Rfam family "Bacterial small subunit ribosomal RNA", at positions 524 to 776 of the family's 1533-position model. Lineage: Bacteria; Bacillati; Bacillota; Clostridia; Eubacteriales. The record is from RNAcentral.
UACGUAGGGGGCAAGCGUUAUCCGGAUUUACUGGGCGUAAAGGGAGCGUAGACGGCGCUGCAAGUCCGGAGUGAAAGCCCAUGGCUUAACCAUGGUACUGCUCUGGAAACUGUGGAGCUUGAGUGCAGGAGGGGCAGGCGGAAUUCCUGGUGUAGCGGUGAAAUGCGUAGAUAUCAGGAGGAACACCGGUGGCGAAGGCGGCCUGCCGGACUGCAACUGACGUUGAGGCCCGAAAGCGUGGGGAGCAAACAGG